GGGAAGCGGCGCACGGGUGAGUAACACGUGGGAAUCUACCUCUGAAUGAGGAAUAGCCAUUGGAAACGAUGGGUAAUGCCUCAUACGUCCCAAGGGAGAAAGGCUACGGCCGUUCAGAGAUGAGCCCGCGUCAGAUUAGAUAGUUGGUAGGGUAAAGGCCUACCAAGUCUACGAUCUGUAGUUGGUCUGAGAGGAUGAUCAACCACACUGGAACUGAGACACGGUCCAGACUCCUACGGGAGGCAGCAGUGGGGAAUCUUGCACAAUGGAGGAAACUCUGAUGCAGCCACGUCGCGUGAGUGAAGAAGGCCUUCGGGUUGUAAAGCUCUUUCAGUAGGGAAGAUGAUGACGGUACCUACAGAAGAAGCACCGGCUAACUUCGUGCCAGCAGCCGCGGUAAUACGAAGGGUGCAAGCGUUGUUCGGAAUCACUGGGCGUAAAGGGCGUGUAGGCGGACGGUCAAGUCAGUGGUGAAAUCCCCGAGCUCAACUCGGGAACUGCCUUUGAUACUGACAGUCUUGAGUUCGUGAGAGGAUAGCGGAAUACCAAGUGUAGAGGUGGAAUUCGCAGAUAUUUGGUGGAACACCGGUGGCGAAGGCGGCUAUCUGGCGCGAAACUGACGCUAAAGCGCGAAAGCGUGGGUAGCAAACAGGAUUAGAUACCCUGGUAGUCCACGCUGUAAACGAUGUGUGCUAGUCGUCGGGAACUUGAUUUUCGGUGACGCAGCUAACGCGUUAAGCACACCGCCUGGGGAGUACGGUCGCAAGACUAAAACUCAAAGGAAUUGAC
RNAcentral lists this ribosomal RNA (789 nucleotides) under uncultured Alphaproteobacteria bacterium. RNAcentral describes it as "bacterial SSU rRNA". It matches the Rfam family "Bacterial small subunit ribosomal RNA", at positions 90 to 914 of the family's 1533-position model. Lineage: Bacteria; Pseudomonadati; Pseudomonadota; Alphaproteobacteria. The record is from RNAcentral.